AAUCAACGCUGGCGGCGUGCCUAACACAUGCAAGUCGAACGCGAAAGCCCCGCAAGGGGUAAGUAGAGUGGCGCACGGGUGAGUAACACGUGGAUAACCUGCCUUUGAGUGGGGAAUAACCUUCCGAAAGGAGGGCUAAUACCGCAUAACACCUUUAGACAAAAGUCAAAGGGUUAAAAGGAGCAAUUCGCUCAAAGAGGGGUCCGCGCCUGAUUAGCUAGUUGGUGAGGUAACGGCUCACCAAGGCUCGAUCAGUAGCCGUCCUGAGAGGGAGCACGGCCACACUGGAACUGAGACACGGUCCAGACUCCUACGGGAGGCAGCAGUGGGGAAUUUUUGGCAAUGGGCGAAAGCCUGACCAAGCAACGCCGCGUGGGUGAUGAAGGUCUUC
Molecule: ribosomal RNA, 391 nt
Filed under: uncultured bacterium
Lineage: Bacteria
Description: bacterial SSU rRNA
Rfam family: Bacterial small subunit ribosomal RNA
Source: RNAcentral